GAUGAACGCUGGCGGCGUGCUUAACACAUGCAAGUCGAACGGAAAGGCCCUGCUUUUGUGGUGUGCUCGAGUGGCGAACGGGUGAGUAACACGUGAGUAACCUGCUCUUGACUUUGGGAUAACUUCAGGAAACUGGGGCUAAUACCGGAUAGGAGCUCCUGUUGCAUGGUGGGGGGUGGAAAGUCUCGGCGGUUGGGGAUGGACUCGCGGCUUAUCAGCUUGCUGGUUGGGUAGUGGCUUACCAAGGCUUUGACGGGUAGCCGGCCUGAGAGGGUGACCGGCCACAUUGGGACUGAGAUACGGCCCAGACUCCUACGGGAGGCAGCAGUGGGGAGUAUUGCACAAUGGGCGGAAGCCUGAUGCAGCGACGCCGCGUGCGGGAUGACGGCCUUCGGGUUGUGAACCGCUUUCGCCUGUGACGAAGCGUGAGUGACGGUAAUGGGUAAAGAAGCACCGGCUAACUACGUG
RNAcentral lists this ribosomal RNA (468 nucleotides) under uncultured bacterium. RNAcentral's name for it is "partial 16S ribosomal RNA". It matches the Rfam family "Bacterial small subunit ribosomal RNA", at positions 28 to 507 of the family's 1533-position model. The record is from RNAcentral.